Molecule: ribosomal RNA, 440 nt
Filed under: uncultured bacterium
Lineage: Bacteria
Description: partial 16S ribosomal RNA
Rfam family: Bacterial small subunit ribosomal RNA
Source: RNAcentral
CCUACGGGAGGCAGCAGUGGGGAAUAUUGCACAAUGGGGGAAACCCUGAUGCAGCGACGCCGCGUGAGUGAAGAAGUAUUUCGGUAUGUAAAGCUCUAUCAGCAGGGAAGAAAAUGACGGUACCUGACUAAGAAGCACCGGCUAACUACGUGCCAGCAGCCGCGGUAAUACGUAGGGGGCAAGCGUUAUCCGGAUUUACUGGGUGUAAAGGGAGCGUAGACGGCCAGACAAGUCAGAAGUGAAAUCCCGGGGCUCAACUGCGGAAGUGCUUUUGAAACUGUUUGGCUGGAGUGCAGGAGAGGUAAGCGGAAUGCAUGGUGUAGCGGUGAAAUGCGUAGAUAUUAGGAGGAACACCAGUUGCGAAGGCAGCUUACUGGACUGUAACUGACGUUGAGGCUCGAAAGCGUGGGGAGCAAACAGGAUUAGAUACCCGUGUAGUC